This 226-nucleotide ribosomal RNA is filed under the name Echinaster callosus. RNAcentral's name for it is "partial 28S ribosomal RNA". It matches the Rfam family "Eukaryotic large subunit ribosomal RNA", at positions 144 to 350 of the family's 3401-position model. Lineage: Eukaryota; Metazoa; Echinodermata; Asteroidea; Spinulosida; Echinasteridae. The record is from RNAcentral.
UGUGGCGUGAGGAAGUCCGUCUCCGCGGUCGGUUCGACGGCGCCGAGGUCCUUCUGAUCGAGGCCUCCGCGCGUCCCAGGGCGGGUGUCAGGCCCCUUCGGGCGCCGUCCGGCCGCGGAAGUCUGAGGGCUUCCAGGAGUCGGGUUGUUCUGUAUUGCAGCCCCAAGGCGGGUGGUAAACUCCAUCCAAGGCUAAAUACCGGCACGAGACCGAUAGCGAACAAGUA